RNAcentral lists this transfer RNA (91 nucleotides) under Fistulifera solaris. It matches the Rfam family "tRNA". Rfam says of the family: Transfer RNA (tRNA) molecules are approximately 80 nucleotides in length. Their secondary structure includes four short double-helical elements and three loops (D, anti-codon, and T loops). Lineage: Eukaryota; Bacillariophyta; Bacillariophyceae; Naviculales; Stauroneidaceae. The record is from Rfam by way of RNAcentral.
UUCCUAGUGGCGCAAUGGCAGCGCGUCUGACUUCUACUCUGUGCCGGAGGAUAAAUCAGAAGGUUUGCGGGUUCAAGUCCCGUCUAGGAAA